RNAcentral lists this ribosomal RNA (483 nucleotides) under uncultured bacterium. RNAcentral's name for it is "partial 16S ribosomal RNA". It matches the Rfam family "Bacterial small subunit ribosomal RNA", at positions 29 to 523 of the family's 1533-position model. The record is from RNAcentral.
AGUGAACGCUAGCGGCGUGCUUAACACAUGCAAGCCGAACGAGAACGGAUUAUAGCUUGCUAUAAUUGUCAGCUAAGUGGCGCACGGGUGAGUGAUGUACAGGUAAUAUGCCUCUUACUAAGGGAUAACAAUUGGAAACGAUUGCUAAUACCUUAUAUUCCUUUUUAUCAAAAGUUAAAAGGGAAAGAUUUAUUGGUAAGAGAUUAGCCUGUAUUGUAUCAGUUAGUUGGUGGGGUAAUGGCCUACCAAGACAAUGACGCAUAACUGGUUUGAGAGGAUGAUCAGUCACACUGGAACUGAGACACGGUCCAGACUCCUACGGGAGGCAGCAGUGGGGAAUAUUGCACAAUGGACGAAAGUCUGAUGCAGCAACGCCGCGUGGAGGAUGACACAUUUCGGUGCGUAAACUCCUUUUAUAUAAGAAGAUAAUGACGGUAUUAUAUGAAUAAGCACCAGCUAACUCCGUGCCAGCAGCCGCGGUAA